CCGGAACCGGCGCACCGGGGUGAGUAACACGUAUGCAACCUGGCCGUCACAGGUGGAUAACCGGAAGAAAUUCCGACUAAUACAGCAUAACACUCCUGAGGGACAUCCUUCGGGAGUCAAAGGAGGCAACUCCGGUGACGGAUGGGCAUGCGGCGCAUUAGGUAGUUGGUAGGGUAACGGCCUACCAAGCCGACGAUGCGUAGGGGUUCUGAGAGGAAGGUACCCCCACACUGGUACUGAGACACGGACCAGACUCCUACGGGAGGCAGCAG
This 272-nucleotide ribosomal RNA is filed under the name uncultured bacterium. RNAcentral describes it as "partial 16S ribosomal RNA". It matches the Rfam family "Bacterial small subunit ribosomal RNA", at positions 89 to 354 of the family's 1533-position model. The record is from RNAcentral.